Protopterus annectens (West African lungfish) is the source of this 741-nucleotide long non-coding RNA. RefSeq lists it as uncharacterized. NCBI's taxonomy places the organism in Eukaryota, Metazoa, Chordata, Ceratodontiformes, Protopteridae. The transcript is spliced from 3 exons. The record is from RefSeq and is a predicted model, not a curated record.
AAUGACGUCAAAUAGAGUCCCGACAGCAGCUAACGGGGAGGAGUUAUUUAACGAGAGGAUCCGCCCCUUUAAGACAAGCAAGUGUUGUCGAGGGUGAGUUGAAAGGUCAGCUUUCACUUUAAGGAAGAAGGAAAAGAGAAUGGGUGGUGGACAAAGUAGUGACCAUACACUUGAUAAUGGUCAGUUGGCUUUUGGAACUGCUGAGGAAAACAACAAGAAUACAGCACAGAAUUCCUCCUGUGUUUUAGCAUGUAAAAAGAGCAACAGCAGGGAUGUUGUUGAACUCCCACAGAGGCAGAUGGGAAACAAGAAGGCAGAUGACAUGUGCUUCAUGAUAACCUGCACAAACUGGUAUUAGAGAUGGGACACAUCUGUGACAGAAGGAGAACAGAGGAGUGCAUAUCUGGAACUCUCCCAAAGAAUCUGGGGCUGCCAACACAAAUAUUCUGUGGAUGACAAGGAAACGCAAUAAAGCAAUCUAAUUUAAUGCUUGCUUCUUCAUUACUGACUUCUCACGUGAUUUAAAAAGGAAUUUUGCUUUUCUCAUCCCAGAUGAAAAUUAUACUGUCAGUAAUGGGAACAGAGGUACUCUGUAUGCAAAUCUUUGUCCUACAAGUAAAUAAAAAGGUUCUGCUUCAUUGGGUUAUUCUGCUGUAAUGUUCUGUCCUCCAUAAAAGAAAAAACAUUGAAGUCUUAUGUAUUAGCAGUACGUCUGCUGAUAAAUAAAGUGAAGUGAAAUAC